GUUAAGCGACUAAGCGUACACGGUGGAUGCCCUGGCAGUCAGAGGCGAUGAAGGACGUGCUAAUCUGCGAUAAGCGUCGGUAAGGUGAUAUGAACCGUUAUAACCGGCGAUUUCCGAAUGGGGAAACCCAGUGUGUUUCGACACACUAUCAUUAACUGAAUCCAUAGGUUAAUGAGGCGAACCGGGGGAACUGAAACAUCUAAGUACCCCGAGGAAAAGAAAUCAACCGAGAUUCCCCCAGUAGCGGCGAGCGAACGGGGAGCAGCCCAGAGCCUGAAUCAGUAUGUGUGUUAGUGGAAGCGUCUGGAAAGGCGCGCGAUACAGGGUGACAGCCCCGUACACAAAAAUGCACAUGCUGUGAGCUCGAUGAGUAGGGCGGGACACGUGGUAUCCUGUCUGAAUAUGGGGGGACCAUCCUCCAAGGCUAAAUACUCCUGACUGACCGAUAGUGAACCAGUACCGUGAGGGAAAGGCGAAAAGAACCCCGGCGAGGGGAGUGAAAAAGAACCUGAAACCGUGUACGUACAAGCAGUGGGAGCACGCUUAGGCGUGUGACUGCGUACCUUUUGUAUAAUGGGUCAGCGACUUAUAUUCUGUAGCAAGGUUAACCGAAUAGGGGAGCCGAAGGGAAACCGAGUCUUAACUGGGCGUUAAGUUGCAGGGUAUAGACCCGAAACCCGGUGAUCUAGCCAUGGGCAGGUUGAAGGUUGGGUAACACUAACUGGAGGACCGAACCGACUAAUGUUGAAAAAUUAGCGGAUGACUUGUGGCUGGGGGUGAAAGGCCAAUCAAACCGGGAGAUAGCUGGUUCUCCCCGAAAGCU
RNAcentral lists this ribosomal RNA (823 nucleotides) under Escherichia coli. RNAcentral's name for it is "partial 23S ribosomal RNA". It matches the Rfam family "Bacterial large subunit ribosomal RNA", at positions 1 to 867 of the family's 2925-position model. Lineage: Bacteria; Pseudomonadati; Pseudomonadota; Gammaproteobacteria; Enterobacterales; Enterobacteriaceae. The record is from RNAcentral.